AAUGGUCAGGGUGAGUCUGGGGGACAACUUUGGAUAGGUUUCAGUGUUAUUGACCUCCUCAGGCAACCAGACAAUACUAAGAUCACACACACACAAAACGGGGUCUCCUACUGUCAAGGGUUCCAGAUGAGCCGAUCUCACGGCAGGAAAACGCAAGAGAGGGCAGCAGUAUCAGACCCUCUCACUGACCAAAUGCCACCUAUCAGAGGAGGUUCUGGAUAAUAGUGUAGCAGUCAACGGUGGUGCCCCAGCAUGACCACAGCUGGGAGGGGGGGUGGGGGUGAAGCCCAAAGAUCUCCACAGGAAAUGGUGAGUGCUUUGAACACUUGUGAUCAUUUUGUGUUGUAAUUAAACAAAGUGCUGUUCUUGAAAUAUGGAAAGGAGGGGUCGUCAGUGGGGUGGCUUUGGGGCCCAUCCUGUAUCUCAACAGUUUGAAACUAGCAAGGGAAACAGACUUACCUAAACACCCAUAAAAGCACCUUUUGUCUGACGCUCUGCCGGUUCAGAGACAAGACUGCCCUAUUAAUAAUUAACGACAGUAGUAGUAGUAGUAGCAGCAGUACAUGUGGGUGGUGGUGGUGGUGGUGGUCGUCGUUAAAAUAGAUGUAGCAACAGAAUUUAGAAAUAUAUAUAUAUUUUUUUUUUUAAAUACUAAAACACCCACACAUCAAACAGAAGAGAUGGGGACGACCACGAGUUUCUCUGCCCCUGAAAUUAUCAAAUAAUUAAAAAUGUGACUGCAAUAUUAAUUAGUAGUUGUGGUGGUGAAGAAACAGGCAAACGAACCAAAAACAGUAACCAUGGCGACACUACAGACUCCCCCAACACAUACACAUUGAAGAGGCAGAGAGAGAGAGAGAAAUGGGGGUGGGGGAGAAAUAGAGAAACAGGGGCAGUUAUGAUGGUUAAGGAACUAAAUAAAUGAAGGGACAACAUUGACACACACACACACACACACACUCCCUCUAGCCUGGAGCCCAAUAAGAAAUAUAGAGAAAGACUAAGCAAAGGGAUGCUGGGAACAGCAAUUAUACUAUUGUGUGAGCACACAGUUCUUUAAUGUGCAUAUACACAAAUAUUUUAUAUAUACACACACACACACACACGCUAAAUUCAAACAGUGAGAAUGAGUGAUCCACUGUGAUGGACAAAUAUUCUUUAUUUGUGGAUCAACAAUUGUAAAGUUAUCACUUUACAUGGAACCACUGGCAGCCCUAUAUAUGUGCGGGUGUGUAUAUAUAUAUGUGUGUGUGUGUAUCUCUCUAUAUAUAAAAAGCAGUUUGUCUGUCUGUGUGUCUGUCAGGUUGUAUCCUCACCCUGACCACGGCUUUGAACCGAUUCUGAUGAAACUUCACACACACAUAGCCCAAUGUCAUAAUUCAAAACUAACGCAACGAAAAUUUUGAAAAGUUCCCCCAGUUCUGAAAAAAAAUCGAUAAAUUCAACAUGGGGUCGAGAAUCUAAGCUUUUUAUAUGCAAUACAUUUCCUGUCUAGGGGACACAACUCGACAGCUAGGUACAUCGUAUACACAGAAGUAUUCGAGUGAAGAGAAGACAUUGCAACCUACACAUGCGCCUUCGUUCCCUAGAGGGAAAGGACUAGAUUGGGAUUAGUCGUUGCCUACUAGGGGCUCUUACAUACCCGGGCAAAGCCAGGCUAUGCUGCUAGUAAUAUAUAUGUGUGUGUUUGUAUAAUAUAUAUAUAUAUAUAUGUAUGUGUAUGUGUGUGUGUGUAUGUAUGUAUUUUGGUUGAGUCAGUCUCUUGCCAUGUUGAAGCCAGUAGAGCACUCUAAGUGUGCAGAGACUGUUUUGUUCCUCAAGUACAAAUACGCGUGUAACCCCCAUUAUUUCCAUUUUGUUCUAUUUUAGAAAAACUGAAACGUGUCCUUGACAAUUCCGAGUGUCUGGUUGUGGUGGUGCAACAAACAGAACAGUGGUGGACACCUCCGGCCAAAAGCAUCGUGAGAAAGGCAACACCGCAUACACCCGAUGGUCGAUUUGGCCAAAAAGUUCAGGCAACACAGUGUGCACGACACAUACCAAAGUGACUCCCACCUGCGCCACCAAACGAGAUGUAUCUGUUAGAAACAGGCUUCAAAAAAAAAAAAAAAAAUGUCCAAAGAAAUUAGGGCACAUAUUGCCACAGGAAUAUUCCUCAUACGACAAUGCAACGAAUAAUAAAAUUUGCUAAUUUGUUUUGCUUUGGUAUUAAAUAUAAAGGGUUGUUUUUGAAAUGUGCAAUAUGUAUUAGAGUUUUAAUCUUGGCGCAUGACCUUUGGCCCAGCUUGUAUAUAUUUUUAUAGAGAUACACACACACACACA
This 2322-nucleotide long non-coding RNA is filed under the name Octopus vulgaris (common octopus). The record is from RNAcentral. Lineage: Eukaryota; Metazoa; Mollusca; Cephalopoda; Octopoda; Octopodidae.